RNAcentral lists this long non-coding RNA (1074 nucleotides) under Phasianus colchicus (ring-necked pheasant). RNAcentral describes it as "lncRNA (ENSPCLG00000010903.1)". The record is from RNAcentral. Lineage: Eukaryota; Metazoa; Chordata; Aves; Galliformes; Phasianidae.
GCGCACGGCCAGACUCGCGCUGCGGCGGCGGCGGUCGCUGCUGCUGCCGCCCGGCGGGGUGGGGGAGAGGAGGAGCGGCGGGGCGGGGCCGGCGGGCGGCGGCGGCCAAUCGGACCCCUCCUCCAGCCGGCCCGGGGCGCGUCGAGCCGGGCCGGGCGGCCAAUCGGCGCCGCGCGGCCGCCGUUCCGAGGGAGGCGAUUGGUCGUCGCUUUGCCUCCCCUCCUUCGACUCCCUGCGGGCGGCGGGCGGGACCGCGAGCGGGCUGGAGGGCGGGGAAACCCCUCAGGGGCGGUGCUGAGGGGCGGGGGCUGGGAGCGAGGGGCGGGGCUCCGGUGCUACGGCGGCGGCGGGAAGCGCGCGUGGGAGCGCGCUCGUGAGGUGGCAGCUGGCGGCUCCCCCUGCGCAGAGAAAACGCCCAUCUCAGCGCUGUGCGGCGAGCCCUCGGCACUGCCGCGCUCUGGGCAGCGCGCAGGGCUGGGUAAAAAGCGCAGGCAGGGCAGUCAGCAAACGCACCGCUGUGCGCUGAGCACCACGGCAACUGGAGGGAGAACAAUUAAUCAGGACAGGGAAAUCUCCCUUCCGAGAGGGACUCCGACACCCCUCAGCUGUCAAUCUCCCAUUGCCCCAGUCCGGAGCGUUUCCUCACCUCACCAGAAGGACGCGAUGCACGGCGCGCGUCAAGCAACAAACAGCUCCUCCAGAGCAACCCUUUGUUUUUGCAAACGCUCUCUCCGAAUCGAAUGUAGUUUUGCAUUCACACCAAAAGCACGCACUCAGAACUGCCCCAAAACUUCCCCAGGAUGCCAUCUCCACCUCAGAGUUGCUUUCACAUCCUUUUCUUUCCAGGGUGUAGCAGCUACAUCAGAGAUAGCCGAGCAAUCGAGAGUUUUGUGCCCAGCGCUGCCAUGCUUCACGCCCUCCGCACAGCAGCAGCCACCUGAAGUUUGCUGCAAUCAGAUCCUGCAAUUAGAGCAAAGCCUGUCCUCUGACGCCGGCAGGUUCCCAGCCCAUCUCCACGAGGAGGACGUUAGACGUUUGAAAAUCAAAUUAGCUUACCUGAGUGCUUUAAUUUGA